CCGUAUGUCACUUGACUGAAAAUCAAAAGUGGUAUGAACCUAGUAAAAAUAAAAAUUCAUUUAAUGUUCAUAGCCAAUUUGCAGAAAUAUCGCGACAUUCUCACAGUCAGCCCAUCCAAGUUCCUCAAGAAAAGUACCAAAUUCUAUUCAUAAUGCGGUCAAUACAUGCUUGUAAAGUUACUCAACACGAAUGCCACACCUUACAGGUGCGCUGCUAAGAAACUGUUCAACAGACCAGAACAAUCACUAGUUCAGGCAAAUAUGCGGCUCUAACACACAUUCAAGAUUACAAAGAAUGACUUCAGCAGGAAGGGACGAUAUCAUGUAGAAGCGGACAGAAAAUGCCUGAAUGAAGUCGUCCCAAAAUCUGAAGCUGAUCUCAUUUUAGUUGACUGUUUGACUACUAAAAGCAAACAGAAGCAAUUUCUCAUUAGUCGACAUACUACACUUUCAUGUAACUAUUCAUCCCAUUUUGGCCCAAGAGGAGGUAGAAAAAAGAAAAAGACCCAAAAAAGCCACAGAAAAGUGGGAGAAUACGAGUAUAGUAGAUACUAUGACCAAAGAAAUUCCUGCAGAUAUAGGCUGUCAAGACCCCAGAUUCGGAAUCCACAACCACAACUGUGUUGAUCCACUCUGCAAUGAGCAUGAUUGAACAUUCUCAAAGACAAAAACAUGCUACAGGGACACUGAUUGCACGAGCAA
Rhodamnia argentea is the source of this 702-nucleotide long non-coding RNA. RefSeq lists it as uncharacterized. NCBI's taxonomy places the organism in Eukaryota, Viridiplantae, Streptophyta, Magnoliopsida, Myrtales, Myrtaceae. The record is from RefSeq and is a predicted model, not a curated record. The transcript has 2 exons.